Molecule: ribosomal RNA, 412 nt
Filed under: uncultured bacterium
Lineage: Bacteria
Description: bacterial SSU rRNA
Rfam family: Bacterial small subunit ribosomal RNA
Source: RNAcentral
UUGGCUCAGAUUGAACGCUGGCGGCAGGCCUAACACAUGCAAGUCGAGCGCGAAAGCACUUCGGUGUGAGUAAAGCGGCGGACGGGUGAGUAACGCGUAGGAAUCUACCUAGUAGUGGGGGACAACUCGGGGAAACUCGAGCUAAUACCGCAUACGCCCUACGGGGGAAAGCGGGGGACCUUCGGGCCUCGUGCUAUUAGAUGAGCCUGCGUUGGAUUAGCUAGUUGGUGGGGUAAAGGCCUACCAAGGCAUCGAUCAGUAGCUGGUCUGAGAGGAUGAUCAGCCACACUGGGACUGAGACACGGCCCAGACUCCUACGGGAGGCAGCAGUGGGGAAUUUUCCGCAAUGGGCGAAAGCCUGACGGAGCAACGCCGCGUGAGGGAUGAAGGCCUCUGGGCUGUAAACCUCUUU